GGCUGGUCCAAAGGGAGUGUGUUAUCUCAACUGAUUCUUCACAGUCGGUCACAGGUAAACUCCUGUCCUAUACUUUCCCUCUUCUCACUACUGCUUUUGACUAGAGAUA
This is a non-coding RNA of Rattus norvegicus (Norway rat), 109 nucleotides long. Ensembl annotates it as Y RNA. Lineage: Eukaryota; Metazoa; Chordata; Mammalia; Rodentia; Muridae. The record is from Ensembl.